GGGUGGGGAAAUGGUCGAAGAGAGAUGGGCCCAGAAAAGGGUCAGACCCAGGUGGAGAUGCCACUGGCUGUUAGCAGACCCCUGCGCUGGGUCUAGCCCACCCAAUCCCAUGGGGAUGCUCCUAUGCUCCUGCAGACAUCUGGGUGCUGCCACAGGGGCCCGACAGAGUUGGCAUCUGGGUGGAUCUGAGCCAAGUGGUGCUUCUGGGCCUCAGCAAGUAGCUGGUGCUGAUUCUGGGCAGCCAACUGUGGCAGCAUCUUCAGGCGCGAGCGCUGCUGGGUGAAGCUGCGUGGGCAGUCCAGAAAGUGACUGACAGUCCACAGGGACCGACCUAGGGUUUCCGGCCCCUAUCAAUGCAGACGCUGUCCUCCAAACCAUCAUGGUCCCUCUCUGGCUGGGGACGUACGCCUGCCACCGCUGGCUUGCCAGCAUGAUUACUGGUUGUGACCUGUUGAGCCAUCUUGCCAGCCUCACAAAGGACAGUACCAGCUGCUUAUGACAGGAAAGUGGAAGAACUUGGCCUGGAUAUUUCUGGAGAAUUACCGUGUGUGCUAGUCAGUCUUUUGUGUCAACCAGGCCAGGCUGGGGGGCCCAGUGAUCUCAUCAAGAGGAGCCGAGGUGUUGCUGUGAUCAUGUGCUGCUGGAAUGUGGUGAACACCUACAGUCGAUUUCACCUAAAGAUCAUCCUUGAGAAUGUGGGUGGGCCUCAUCCUAUCAGCUGAAAGCUUUAAGAGCAAAACCUGAGGUGUCCCAGAGAGGGAAUUCUGCCUUGAGACGGCGGCUUCCACUCCCACUGGAUGUCCAGCCUGCAGCCCCACGGCUGGGUGAGCCCGUCCUCUCCUCGUUUCUAUCUUCUAUUCGUUCUGUCUCUGGACCCACCGUGUGGCCCCAGACCCUCCAGCGAGGACCUCCUGUGUUUCUUCAGAGCAGCCCUUGUGUGCUGGAGGCCUGGGCUUCAGCGUGUCCCUGGGUGCCCUGGGGCAUGUUCUGUGACCUCCCAGCUCCUCGCCUCAUAGGGCCGCUGUAUCAAGUGACACAGUUUGUGUGCUGCGUACCACGCCUGGCACCCAUCUGAGGUGCUGCAAGGAGGCCAUGUUUGCCCGAUGAGAGCAGCCUAAGAUCUGCAAACUGUUGUUCGAGUGGAUGGGAACUUGAUGCUAUUUCAGGCUGAAUGACAAGACUCCGCGAUGCCAGGCUGUGAUGCUUCUCAGCCUGGGCUGCACAACGCAAAUCUACAAGGGAAGUUUUAAAAACAUUGGUACUUGCUGGAGGUGGUGGCGCGUGUCUGUAAUUGCAGUUGCUCCAGAGGCUGAGGCGGAGGAUUGCUUGAGCCCAAGAGUUUCGGUUUAUUUGCUUUUCGAGAGUCUUGCUCUGUUGCCCAGGCUGGAGUGCAGUUCCAUGAUCUCAGCUCACUGCCUCAGCCUCCCAAGUAGCUGGGAUUACAGGUGCAUGCAACCAGGCCUGGCUGAUGUUUGUAUUUUUAGUAGAGAUGGGGUUUCACCAUGAUGGUCAGGCUGGUCUUGAACUCCUGACCUCAGGUGAUCCGCCCGCCUCGGACUCCCAAAGUGCUGGGAUUAUAGGCAUGAGCCACCAUGCCCGGCCGGAUGUGAAUUAUCUUAAAAAUUUUCAGAUAAUUCUAAUGGGCCAAGGUUGAGAACCCCUGAUCUGGGCCCAUCCAAGCACCAGGCUGUCACAAACACAUGCACGCACUCACGCCCGUGGGCUUGGGGGGCUUUGGAAAUGUGCUUCUGCUUUUUUGAGAUGGGGUCUUUCUGUUGCCCAUCCUGGAGUGCAGUGGCACGGUCACAGCUCACUGCAGCCUCGACCUCCUGGCCUCAGGUGAUCCUCCCGCCUCAGCCUCCCGAGUGUCUGCUUCUGGUUUUCAUGAUGACCUGGGGGCCAGGCAUACUACACUUGCUGCUGUUCGGGGGCCAGUCCUGUACCAGGAGCCCAUCAACCACAACUCCGCCGAGAAGCACUGAUAUGCAGAGCUAAGCAGCUUUGUUUCCAUGUGGAUCCUGUGUGGGUUCUCUUGGUCCAUCCGUAGACACCGCACUCCUGCAGAGGAUCUUCUCGGGAUGCCCCACUGUCUCCGUUUUUCCUCUUCACUGAACACUCAGUUGGGGCUCGCCAUGAUGCCUCUGUGUCUGCUGGCGUCUCCCCCAUUGGAACAGCCUUCUUGGCCCGCCACGCUGCUAGCCGCUGGGCACCAUGCUUUCUGCCUUUACCGUUCUGCCGUGAUGUUGCCAAAACAGUAAUAAAAAAAAAAAAAAAAAAAAAAAAAAAAAAAAGGAGGCUGGGCGCAGUGGCUCAUGCCUGUAUUCCCAGCAGUUCGAGAUCAGCCUGGGCAACAUGCCCCAACUGGACCCUAGGCAAAAGUGAGUGGCACUCCUCUGCCAGGACUCCAGGCCAGCCCCGGCAUCUUCUUGCUGCCGUCCCAGACAACAGAAGUUACCAGAUGAACAGACUUGGAUUUGCCAAAGGGGUGGAGAGCUAGAAAGCUUGGUUGUGCCUCUCGAUGAUUAUUAAGAUUUCAAUAUUUACAGCAAAACCACAAAGCAAAUGAUAGAAUAAAGCAAAACGAUGGAAAAUCUGAGUUCACUCAUGAGGUAUGUAUGUGAGCUCUGAGGAAAUUACAGAGGGAACGCAUGCAGCUGGACAGCUCUCCCAAUCGCAGCGUGCAAAGUAGACAUCCAUAGUAUCUUUUGAAAAAUGAAAAACACAUUACUUUGAACAACCAAGAAAAAAAAUUGCAAUUUAUUAAGAUUCAAUAAAGCGUUGUACUUUCGAAAGCA
Molecule: non-coding RNA, 2795 nt
Filed under: Pongo abelii (Sumatran orangutan)
Lineage: Eukaryota; Metazoa; Chordata; Mammalia; Primates; Hominidae
Source: RNAcentral